Molecule: ribosomal RNA, 256 nt
Filed under: uncultured bacterium
Lineage: Bacteria
Description: partial 16S ribosomal RNA
Rfam family: Bacterial small subunit ribosomal RNA
Source: RNAcentral
UACAGGAGGGUGCAAGCGUUAAUCGGAAUUACUGGGCGUAAAGCGUGCGUAGACGGUUGCGUAAGUCAGAUGUGAAAGCCCCGGGCUCAACCUCGGGAAUUGGCAUUUGAGACUGCGUAGCUAGGGUGCGGAAGAGGGAAGCGGAAUUUCCGGUGUAGCGGUGAAAUGCGUAGAUAUCGGAAGGAACACCAGUGGCGAAAGCGGCUUCCUGGUCCAGCACCGACGUUCAGGCACGAAAGCGUGGGGAGCAAACAGG